AUGAUCGUAUUGGGAGAGAUUACCUUACUAGUAACGCUAGGUAACGCCGAAGGAGUAAGCUUGAAUCAAGUGAAUCUCUCAGGCAAAAGGACCAUUACGGGACG
Molecule: non-coding RNA, 104 nt
Filed under: Paenibacillus selenitireducens
Lineage: Bacteria; Bacillati; Bacillota; Bacilli; Caryophanales; Paenibacillaceae
Description: Glycine sequence
Rfam family: Glycine riboswitch aptamer
About the family: This family represents the bacterial glycine riboswitch. Glycine riboswitches usually consist of two metabolite-binding aptamers domains with similar structures in tandem.
Source: Rfam by way of RNAcentral